RNAcentral lists this long non-coding RNA (12773 nucleotides) under Equus caballus (horse). RNAcentral's name for it is "lncRNA (ENSECAG00000057473.1)". The record is from RNAcentral. Lineage: Eukaryota; Metazoa; Chordata; Mammalia; Perissodactyla; Equidae.
UGGAACUUGUGGUUUGUCUCUAGAUCACUUCAACAGGAGAGAAGGCAAAAGUCACUUCUGGAUUUUUAGGAACUGCCCUCAGUGCACAGGAAACUCACUUUGAGAAUGCACAAGAAAGUUCUUGUAUUUUCCGAAGGGCGACAUAGGUUGUGGGCAGGGAAGAAUGGUUUUGGUGCGAUAACUUGGUGGGGUCAUCAGAACGCCCUCUGAUAAAUCCCAGCUCAUGCGGGUUCCGUAAGUAUUUUCAAAACUCGCCCUCUACUAGCUGUUGGGUCUUCAAGGAUAAACGAGCCAGGAUGUAUCGCUUCUGGGGAAAAUGGUCUCAAAUCCUGGAAAGAAGAGCUGUGAGAAAUCAAGAUAGAAAAUCAAUAUGAAACUAAGUGGCAGAAACACAGAUGUCUGACCUUGACUGAAAUGACCAAAAGGAUGUAAAUAUGUUUUAAGUUAGAGAAGGGUACCAUUAGCUGCCAGAACCGGCUGCACUACAGACGGAACCUGAUGAUAAAAGCACUUGGAGCACUUCCUUUGAUCUCUCUCUCGAAGAAAGUGGCAUGACGUCAUGGGAAUUAAGCAGAGUGGAAUGCAGACAUUCCAGGAAGAAGGAGAGAGUCAGAGAUAAAGUCAGAUCAUGAGAUGGGGGAGUGUGUCACUCAGAUCAGAGGGUGGAAGCAAUGCGUCAGAGGAAGGCAGCUGCAGCAGAUGUAAAGGCCUUCCCUCUGAGUAAGGGUGGCAGGACCUGGAUGAAAGCUUGAGAAAUUCAAAGGGGUUGGAUGAGGACGGAGGAGUUGCUGUCCUGAUCCUCUGGCAGGUAAACAGCAGGUGGCAGCAGCAAUGAGGGGCUUUUGCAGAUUCUGGGGGCUCUCCCAUGGCCUUGAAGAGAGGCACAGCUAUGAAUGGGGUCUACAGAAAGUCCAGGAUCAAGGUUAGGUAGAAUUGGGGUGCUGUCCAGGGAGGUCCAGCACAGUGUGAGCUGGAAAGGGGCCACAGGCUGGGACAGUGGCACUGAGAGGCGUCCUGCCCUCUUGGCUCUGGCACCUUCCCAUAAGCGUCACUGCACACUCAGAAGAGGCACGAAGGUUGCUGGGCUGAGGGUGAUAAUCGGCAGGGGGGCCCACGACCACCUCCCACCUCUGCACACCCCAGUUCACUUAUCCCCUUAUCCCACACUCCUUCCCCUCCCUCAGUGUACAGCUGACCCUCUGGCAGCAUCCUUCUGGUUUCUUGUGAAUUUCCAAAAGCAUUUUCCAGUUUUCUAGCCAUAACUGUGGGGCUUUUGAAUGGAUUCUUCAUCCACUUGAGCCAAGUGUUCCAUGCCUUCAGUUACUUGAGGUCCAGAUAGCCUGGUGAUUCGAAUCUGGCUAAGAGGGAUGCGGAAAUUUCCCAUCGAGAGGCAACAAAGGCAGGGUGGAGAAUGAGCAGACACCAAUGAUCAUGUCGACGACAGUGCAAUACAAAAGAUAACCAGGCAGAGUCUAGGAGAGUUUUAGCAAAGAGACCCAGGAUCUGCUUAUAUGUGGGGGUUACAAAGCUUUGGAAAUUAGUUAGUGGUUUGAUUCAGCAGAAACAGGAACUCGUAACAAUACUCCUGCACAGUCUCUACGCCAUGGUGGGGAGGAAAAGCUGUUUGUACGUGUCAUAUCAGGGAUUUUGUGAGUCCCUGCCCUCAGAGUCAGAAGGAAAAUGGUUUCAUAUGGAUACUCAUAGGCCAGGUGACAUGGGUGGAAAGCUCUAAGCACCAGGUUCCAGCAGGAAGCUUGAACCCCCCUGUAUGGGAUGUGGUCUCCUUCUCUGGUUGGAGCGUUCUCUUGUUGACAGCCAGUGGGUGCAGGGGGCUCUCUAGGCUCCACCCUCUGCCCUCGUGGAAAGUGAGCUGGAGUGAGCGCCACUGGCUCCUUCCCGGGGAUGAGUACUGGAGCUUGGUACAAGCCCUAAAGACCGCCUAGAGCUCAGGGUCAAAUGCAUCCUCUCAACCCCCACCCUGCAGCUUUCUGCUUUGGCCCUGGCUCCUUUGAGUAAGUGGGUAUAAGUGGAUUCUUCCUGAGUCUCUUUCACUGUUUUCCAGGCAGGCUGCUCCUUCACACACUGUGGGCUGGGUGACUCUUCCCUCAAUAUCAUGUCACCUGCUCUCUGUCUAGCAGAAUUUGUUGACAUUUCUGGCUCAUGGUUUAAGGACGUAGGAGGAUGUGUUUACCUUUAAACAUCUAGACAAGUUUUGCUGUUCUUGAUAGGGAGAUACCAUCAAAUAUGUAGGCACAUAGUAGAAGAGAAAACUCAGUGCACACUUACAUUUGGGAAGCACCGAUUAUAAAAAACAAACCAAUAACUGCUUUUGCAGAGAGCAAUGUCUUGGGAAGGAUGAUAAUGCUAUUCUGCUAAUUCUAGCUUUUCCUUAUCAUCUCGUCACUCUUGUACUUCCCUCUCAUUCUGUAGUUUUGAUAUUAUUUCUCGUUUGCGUUUUGACUUUCCACCACUUCAGUCGCCAUUUUGAUUCUGUUUUUCUGUUUCCUGUUCCAUUUGAACUAUUGUUCUUUUUUAUGUAUAAUUACAGUGUAAGCAGGAAAUCCAGAUAAGGUUAAGCUAGAAAGCCCCUUUUAAUAGGCAUUUGCACCACAAAAAGGAAAUGAGCACAUUCGUAGGGUAAAUGAAAAUGUGUUAUCUUGCAGGAAUAGCGAACAUUAAGGUUAUGCCAUGAGAAGAUUCAGCGAUGUUUUCCCAAGUUUAAGGAUUGCAUUUGGGAACUGUAUUUCCCCUGGGUUAGAGACUGGUGUUGAGUAGGCAGAGAAUUAGAAGCUGAUAAAGGAAUUACUAAUACCGCCAUUUGUUUCACAAAUUUCAAUUAAAAGAUUUAAUAGGAUGGUUAAACUAUAAAUUACAUUUAGCAAAGCUAAGAGACUGGCAUUUUCCUUAAUUUGAUAUUCCCGCUUAAUACCAGGAGGCAUUGAUCCGGGAGGCAUUGGGUGGUCUCAUUCAAACUAAAUCCCUGGUAUUUGUGAUCCUUGGUUAAACAAGAAAUAUAGUGUGUUAGACUGGAGAAUGGAAUGAAGUAUCAUAUUCAGAAUUUAAUAUGAUCCCGUUGUGCUUGAAACGUUUAACAGACCUCAGAAUGAUUCCAAUGUUUGGAUAAACCACUGCAACUUCUCUUUCAUUAGUUUGACAACGGCAAGUGAAAUAGAUUUCACUUUGUUAUGUUUCCAAGCCAAUAAAAAUGAACAUUUAAAGAAAGUGAGCAUCAAGACAUGAAUGUGUAUACCCAGUGCCAACAAAUUACAAGAACUUAAAAAAAUUCAGUUUUGUGGAAUUCAUAGGGAAAAUUCUAUGAUAUUUCCAAUCAGAUGAAGAAAGCUUAUCUUGUUCAGCCAUGAGGUUUAUCCUAAGUUCUUUAGUUCUUUAUAUUUUUCAUUCAUACUCUGUUAAAGGAGGGGAUAAUUCUAAGUUUGUGUGUGUGUGUGUGAGCUUUUAUCUAAGUGUAUUUAGUUUGGUUUUCAUCUGAGUUGUCUUCAGUGAGGUCAGUUACAUGGAGAACUAAAGGCUUUUGAGCCAAGUGUGCCAUGUUUUCUUUUACUUGAGAUCCAGAUAGUGUUCUGGUGAUUCGAAUCUGGCUAAUAUGAAUGAGAAUCCCAUAGGGAGACAAUGAAGGCAGGGUGGACAGAAUGAGCAGACGCCAAUGAUGAUGAUGAUGACAAUGAUGUAGAAAAGAACAUCAGAUCAGAAUCUGGGAGAGCUUGUCAAAGAGACCCUGUGUAUCCUGCUCAUACAUGGGAGUUAUGAAGCCAUGAAAAUUUGUUAGUGGUUUGAUUCAGCAGAAAUAGUAACUGAUGUCAACCUGAUAACAGUACUUCUCUACCUAAAAUUCUUCCACUGAUUCCAUUGCUCUUAGGAUCAAGUUCUUUAUAGCCAUUUUGUGGCCUUGGAAGUUUGGUUACUUUCUCUGCCCUGAGCCCUUGUAUUCUCUGUUCCAGCUGCACUGACUUUUUUUUAAUUCCUCCCAAGUGUCUGUCUCCUUUCUGCUUUCAGGAGCUCUGCACAUAUAUUACCUGUGUGUUAGGUGUUACCUGGAUCGCUGCCAAACCCCACCAUGUCCCUUUGCCUACCUUGCUCCUGCUCACGUUCUAGUUCCUUCCUUCUUGGAAGCCUUCCCUUUCCCAAGGACUGGAUUAAGACUCCUUGUUAUAUUCUCUCAUAACACCCUUUGGCACUCACUACAGUUGAAGUUAGUUCCUAACUAACUUAUUUAGUUAUUUCUUUAAUGUGUGUUUGAAGACAUGGUGGUGGUGUUUCCAUGAGGAUAGGGAUCAUUACCUGUUUUGUUUACAAGCAUGUUGCAUGGCACAUGAUAAGGGAAAAAAGCUAACUGUGUGAAUAAAUGAAUGAGGUAGGAAGCUGCUUGGGUUAUGGUUAUGAAUUAAGUUGUGUCCCCCUCAAAAGAUACGUUAAGGUCCUAAUCCCCGGUACCUGUCAAUGUGACCUAGUUUGGAAGUUGGUUCUUUGCAGAUGUAAUCAAGUUAGAAUGAAGUCAUUAGGGACGAGUGACGUCAGCAACAUGGUGGAGUGAACGGUUUUCUUUGUCUCUCCCCCUUUGAACUACAAGUAAAUGGACAUUCAUUGAUCAAUGGAGGACACUCACACAGCACUGCAGGAUGCCUGAGAGACCCACACUGCUAUACAUCAGAAGGUGGAUGGACUACUCUCGGGGAGGAGGGGGAGACAGAUAAGGAGAACGGGGAACAAUGGGAUUAAGAAAUGGCAGAGUCUUGACACGAACCCAGGUCAACCAGUAGCCCAGGCUCAGAGGAGAAGAAUGCAGAGGAAUCAAAAGCUGGAAGGAAUCUUAACAGGAAGAGCUCAUUAGUUCUCCCUCCAGAGACAACUGCCUCUCUCAGAGAUGAAAUCUAUUCUGGGAAUCCCCAAGAGGAAGAGAACCCAUUGAGUCUGAGUGUGGAGAGUGUGAGAUCGUGGAAAUCUUGGAAACAGGGUGGAGUUGUGGGUCGGAAGGUCUGAGCUUCCAACCUCGGUCUUCCUCUACGGAACAGUCACCCAGCUCGCUGCCACUCGCUCCGUUUCCUUAUCUGUGAAAUGGAGAUAACAGGAGCUUGCGUGCUGUCAGAGUUUUCUGAGAUAAAAAUGAGAACACGUUGAGGAAGGUAUUUCUUCACUCAGGGCAAUUCCACUGAAAAAGUCCUAUCAGGAGAGAGCGUCUUUUCUUUCCUUUUAGGUAGGUGACCAUUUGUAAUAUUGUGUCCCAGAGAUCUUUACCUUUUGCUUUUCUAGAUUUUUUUUUUUGAUGAGGAAGAUUGGCCCUGAGCUAGCCUCUGUGCCAUUCCUCCUCUAUUUGUGUGUGGGUCACCACUACAGCAUGGCUUGAUGAGCAGUGUGUCGGUCCCGCUCUGGGAUCCGAACCCGCGACCCCUGGGCCGCUAAAGCAGAGCGUGUGAACUUAACCACUAUACCACUGGGCUGGCUCCAGUUUAUUUUGUUAAACAGCAGUCAUCUCUCCUAGUCUUUGGCUCUUUUUCAGUUUUUCACUUGCUGUAACCAGGCAGAGGCUCAAACUGCACAGAGCAUCCUACUCUCAGCUGCACGCACCAAAGAGGUCACACACUCAGAGAAAUGCUGUUUAGAGGAACUUUAUGUGCUUUUUAUUCUAUUGUCGUUCACUGAACCCGUGGGUUAAUUUUGGUAGUUUUGGGCGUGGCAGUGAUUUUCGUGACUCCUUUUUCCUUCUCUAGAUACACUUCUCAGACUUUCUGUUUCCUUUAACCUGAUUUUGGUCAUUUCGUUUUCUUGUUAAGAUCAUCUCAAGUAGUAACGGCUUUAUUCCAAAACACAGACAGCCCUUUCCAAAAACUGUGAUGUUUGCCCUUGAAAAAAAGUGUUUGUUACUCAAAUCACAGGGCCAAGAAAUGUGAUCAUUGAUCCCAAGCAUGUUAUAGGAAUGUCAACACAUAGGUACUAACGACUGGUGGUAAUAAUAACAACAAUAAUAAAAGUUAGGGACGAUUCACUGAGGUCACAUUGUGCAACAGGAACUGGUUAAGUUCUUUUCACAUUUCCUCUAGGCUUCUUUAAAAUGAUCCUCCAAGUGGACGUGACUAUCCUUAUCCUGCAGAGACGAAAGCUGAGGUUUUCAUAAAUUAAGUAAAUCGUGAAAAACAGUGCCAGCAAUUUAGGUCCAGGGACUCCAGAGCCGAGCUUUUUCCUGUGCCCUCAACUGCCUCCUGGGGAUGCUGUGGCGCCUUAAGGAUGGGGCAGACCUGGUUUGGGAACCCAUGCAGGAUCAGGGCAUCAGAACACUGUGGAGUCGUUUUCCUAAUAGCUGUAAAAAUCUGCUUCCUUGCCCUUUGCUGGAGCUGUUACAUCCAUCUGCUCACAGUAAAUUUCUUAAUCACCUCUGGUGAUAUGAUUCUGACUCCUUGCGUAUUUUGUCCCUGCCACCCAUGGGGACUGCUCAUUGUUACAGCAUCUGCUCCCCGCCUUCCUCCUGCUAAACUCUGAGGCAGAGAAUUCACUGGAGGGUUUUUAGCGACGUCUACCUUUUCUGGCUGGGAGGAGAGUUUGCCAUCUGUCAGCGGGCGUGGAGGAUCCUUCACCGACCUUUUGCAUUUAUUUCCUGAACCCUCCGCCACUCUGUUUACUAUGAAGAUUUUUGGCCUUUCCUUACAUAAGUGGUUAAGAAAUUCUAGUUCCUCCAGGAAGGACUAAGGCUGUGCUUUUCAGCAAGGCAAAGAGUAUAUUCCUCUGUAACGUGACUUGGGUUUUCUAAAGGUCGGUUCUAUUAUUUGUACUAAUGCAGUAUUGAGCUUCUUCGAAUUUGCUUAUCAUAAUAUCACACGGCCAUCUGAACUAUAGUCUAUAGAAGCGUAGGUUUCGUUGCUUCCCCCGCCUUCCUGAAAGCUCAGCAUUUUUGAAUGAAUAAAUUAGAACGAUGCAAUUGCAUCUUGACCAAGGGGUUGGCUUUUUAUGAUGGUUGACUUUUUCCUUUAAGAAUAGAACUUAGAUUAACGGGUCCAUCCACUCUUCAGAUGCAUGCUUUCCUUCUCCGUAGAGAAGCUGCCCAGAUGGGUCUUGCUCAGUUUCAUGGGCAUGGCCCUAAAAUGCAUGGAUUUGUUUAAUAGGGCACGAUCCUUUUAAGUACAUAAAAGUACAAUCCAAAGGUGGUCAAUAUACAAAAUCUUCCUAGAGUUUUCCAACAUGCUCUAACAGAAGCGUUUCACCAACAAUAAAAAUCACCACAAUUAACGCAUGUGCAAAAUGUGGCUCUUGAUGGCGCUGCCUCGACUCUCUUCCUGUAUUUCAGCCUGGUGCUGCUUUCCUUCUUCAGUAGGUGAGGACAGCCGGUCUUACCCACAUUCUCUCUCCAGCCUCGUAUCUGUUGCUCUCCUCUUCAUCUUCAAUUCUAUGAAUUUCCUCCUUUACAUUAUUUUAAGAUUUAAAGUGUCCAGAUGGAUGCUGAAUUCCUUCCUCACACCUGGCUUCCUGAGCAAGCAGUCAGUUUUGAUUUUUCACUGGGCAUGGGCCCUCUCUCCUGGCUUGUGUGUCUGUAACACACUUCCUCUCCUCCUGGUUUUAAUGGUCUCAUUGAGUCUCAGAAAUGGUGGCUCUUGAAUAUCAUUUAUCCAAGUCCCAUCAAGGUUUCAGUGGAAAAGGGGCUGAAAGGAAUGGGAAAACACAGUCCCAUAUUUCUAUGCAUCUUCAGCCAGCCUUAUCGCUCUGUCCUUUCAAGGAUGCUUAAUAAUUAAUAUGGGCAACAGAGAGGCUGGCAGUGUCGCUGGCUGCCCAAACAAGUCGGCUUAAUGCUUUUAUACUGCUAAUAAGACAUAAGCGUGGCUAAGAGCAGCAUUUUCAUACUGCAUUAAUGAAACACAGUUUCUGAAUGCGCUAUGAAUUUUAUCUAAUUAGUAGCUUUAAAAAUGCCUCAGACAAGCCUUCAAAGGGAAUUUGUUGCACUGAAAAGAGAUUCAAGAACCAGAGACCCCAAGUGGCUCAAUGCUCUGCAGAUAGUGUGAGGUCGUUUCCAGGAGGCUCAAGACACCCCUUUUCCAGGAAACUUGAUUGAGCAUAAAAGUUCUCAAGUAUUUUUCCUCCGGGAGAACAAUACCUGGGACUCCUUACGUUACUCCUUCCUUCCAUUGAUGAGCUAGAAAAACAGCAAACAAAACUAAGAUAAAUCUUUUCUUCAGCUUGGGGUCCUCACAAUUCCUGACACUUUCUCAUGGUACAGCAGGUCACAAAGCCCGAAAGAGGGCCAGUAUGCAGUGCAAAUACGGACGACGUUAGCUGGAGCGAGAGUUGCUGACACGCCCCACUGAUGCCCAAGGUCUUUACCUGAAAGUUACCUUUUGGCUAAUUUGCCUUUCUACCCUUCUUCUUUUCUCCCCUCCUUCUGUCUCUUCGUUAAUUUGUCUGUUUCUCCCUUUCUCUGUACCUGUUUUCUUUUCUGUGGACCUCAGACAUUGGGAAUUGAGUGAAUUGUAUUUCUCAGUUCAUGAUUCCCUAACAUGCAACUUGUUUUGUUCUGUAUUAUUGUUUUCUUCUUCACUGUCCAUCUUUGGGUUCAUUUCUCUACCUUCCAUAGGCACCCGCUCUAGAGCAUUUUAUAUCUGUAUGUAGAUAGGUGUCAGUGAAAACCAUGAAGUUUUAUUUGGCAAGUAGGUCUUUUUAAUUUACAAAAAUGGUGUUAUGUUACAAAACUCAUUUUGUUUUAUUCAUUUACUCAAUCCUAUUGUUAAAAGAUUUAAUGGUGUUGCUGUGUGUAAAUCUCUAGCUUUGUCUGUCUGCUACAGCAUCUUCUAUCAAAUACCUGUACCACAUUUUGGUUGUUCAUUAGUCUCGAGAUGGCAUCUAGGUUGCUUCUAAUUUGGGUACCACAAGCAGUGUUUUAAUGAGCAUCCUUGUCCAUGCCUCCUUAUGUUCCUCUGUGAGAGUUUCCCCGCUGAGGAGGAAGAUGGCUAAGGUUGUAGGUAUGGACAUCUUUAAUUUCACCAAGUUUCACCAUCUUUCCCUCAAAAAUAUCUUCUUUACUAGGAGGCAUAAAAGGUCUUAUUUAUCAACAUUCUUGCUACUUCUGGGUAUCUUCUAAGCCUCAGCUCAAAGUCCAGAAUCUCAACAUCUAAGUUGAUAUUUAAGAUUUAAGAAGGAGUAGAUUUAAGAACGAGUAGAUUUAAGAACGAGUAGAAUUUUUCUUGAUCUGGGAAAUUAAAGACACGCUAUUUGUCCCCCACAUACCCAACAUUCAGGAUGGCACAGGCAUAGAGUAAGCUCUGUGGACAUUCCUAUUCAAAAAGGAAGAAAAUCGGAGGCACAGAGUCACUGGAGCGUAGUAAUUAUGAAACAUAGCUGAGCAGACGUUGGAGUUCCUUCAUUAGAACAUGAUUCUACUUCUGCUCAGGAGCUGGUCUUUGGGGCCCUUGGCUCUGCUCUCUGGGCUCUUGGUUCCACUCUGAGUCAUCCUUGAUUUUUACGAAAGGAGCCUGUGUUUGCAGCCAACUAAUUUUCCCAGUCUGCCCCCUGUUUGUAGACGUUGGGCGGUCUUAAGUCUCCUUUUCAUUUCGUACCGUCUCCGUCCCUUUCAGUCCAAGCUGGUGAUGUUUCUGCACAUAUCGCUCUCUUAAAAACCCUGUGGGUCCUCUCUGCGUCUUUUUGGAGUUCACGUCAUCAGACAAAAGUAGACUGACAAAUCUCUUCAAGAUAAGCCCUUGUCCACUUUGCACUUCUAUUGAACAACCACACUCUUAAGCUUCUUAGAAGCUCUAUUGUUUGAUUUAAAGGAACUCUGAGUCACACUCUUAAACCUUAAGAGAGCUUUUUUGUCUGAUUGAAUGACACUCUGAGGCAUCACCUUUGAUCUCUCUGAGGUCUUAAAGGAUUUUAUGCUCACUCCCUCAGCUUCGUAUUUAAACCAUGUUUUCUUGAGAGUGUCCUGGAUUUGGUCUUUGCUUGGAGCCAUUUCUUUUUUAUUUAUUUAUUUUUUUGAGGAAGAUUAGCCCUGAGCUAACUACUGCCAAUCCUCCUCUUUUCGCUGAGGAAGACUGGCCCUGAGCUAAAAUCCGUGCCCAUCUUCCUCUACUUUAUAUGUGGGACGCCUACCACAGCAAGGCGUGCUAAGCAGUGCCAUGUCCUCACCCGGGAUCCGAACAGGCAAACCCCGGGCUGCCGAAGCGGAAUGUGCAAACUUAACUGCUGCGCCACCGGGCCAGCCCCAGCCAUUUCUUAAAUUUAGCGUUGUUUGCCAUCUGAUGAGGCUGGGAAUCUUUGAAAACUAGACAGUUCUGGUUCUUUUUGGAUAAUAGUUCCUUCUUUAGCUUAUCACUAUCUUCUCAGAUUUUUCUAUAAAUAGCAUUAAUGUGGCAUUUUCACCACCAUGUCUGGAAAUCUUAGCCUGAUCAUCCAGUUCACCAGGGACAUUUCCAACUUUCACAUUACUUCUGGUUACCAUUGCAAAACUUUCUGCCACUACAGAAUAAGGAUCUCCUUUUCUCCAGUUUCCAAUAAGAUUUUCUUCAUUUUUCUUUUAAGCCCUCACUGGCAGCCUCCUUAAAGUCCAAAAUUCUACUACCAUUCUGAUCAAGGAAAUUUAGACUUUCACUAAUCCUCUCUCUAAAGUCCUUUUUCCGUCCAGUUCCUGUCCGCCACCUCUCCCAAAUGUAGGCUUUUGUUACGGCAUACCCCACUUUCAGUAUCGAAAUCUGAAUGAGUUAUUUAUUGCUACAUAACAAAUCACCCUAAAACUUAGUGGGUUAAAACAACAAAUAUUAUCUCACAUUCUCAGACCUGGGAAUCUGUCAGCAGCUCAGCUGGGUGGUCCCGCCUGAGGGUCUCUCGCCAGGUUGCAAGUAAGCUGUUGACCAGGGUUGCAAUAAUCUCGCAGCCUAGAAAAUCCGCUGUUAGGCUCAGUCGUGAAAUUGUUGGUGGCCCUCAAUUCCUCACUGACUGUUGGCUGGAGGGUUAUUGGAACGUUGUCAUGCAAACGUCCCUGGAGGGCUGUUCCCAACCUCGCUGGUGCUUUCCCCAGAGCAAGGAAUGAGAGAUGGAAAAAGAGAAGAGAACCCAGGAUGGAGUCACAGACUUUUAUAACCUGACUUUGGAAAGGAUCUACUGUUGCUUAUAUCAUAUGCUACUAGUUACACAGACCAACCCUGAGAUAAUGUGGGAGAAGCCUGCGUAAGAGUGUGAAUACCAGGAGGCAGGUAUCACUGGGAACCAUCCUGGAGCAUGGCUACCCAAUGACUCCAUUUUCUCAACACUAUUGUUAAACCAUCCACUGUUUCCUCAUGCCUUUUGAGUUAUUAUCCCCGGCAUAUAUGAAAUUCUUGUAUAGAUAUGGGCUAAUUUCUUGCUUCUUUAUUUUGUUCCAUUUGUCUCUUUUUAUUACUUGUGACUUUUCAGUGUGCCACAAUCUGUGACCUUUCAAUAAUUUGUCUUGUUAUCUGGAAGGACAUGAAGGAGGUAAGUGGUUAAGCAGCAGGUCUAUGGUCCUUUCUCUCGCAGGGAGUUUUCCACCGGAAAAGAAAGAAGGCAUGGACUCAGUCAAAUCUUCUCGUAAUGGCAGAGCUGACAAGCAACUAAUGGUUUUUGCUAGCGGGAGAGUUUAUCAGGAUGUCCAGUUGUCUAGUAUUGUUUGUGUAACAAGCCUGGGGUCUCUGGAUUUCUGAGAUGCAGCUCCCUGGAAAAUGUGACAUAAACUGUCUGACUCUCUGACUCUACCAGAUGAGCAGAAAUUUCCCGCCAACUUGGCAAAAAGGUGAUCAAAUAUUGAGACUUCCUCCAGCUCUGUCUGGAUGUUUUUUCCUCCAAGAAUACUUCUUGGCGGUGUUGUGAUCAUCUGCAGGAGACACACGAUACCUGUUUGUCUCUCUUUUUUGUCUCGUUGACAAUCAUUGACCAUCAAUGAAAUAAUGUCUAGAUCAAUUAAUUCCCUAGGGGUUGCAAAAUAGUGGAAUUCUGGUUCUAUUAUUCCUUCGUUUAUUAGCUGAAAGAUUCCUAUAAGAGAAACUUCCCCUCACCUGCUAUUUGGUAAUCCAUCAGUAUAGUUCUUACAGGAAAGGCAGGAUAGAUGCUCUAGUCUUUCCCUCUGUCUAUUAAGUGACUUGGUUUGCUAUCAUCUUUCAAAGUUGACCUGUUAUUAUUAUUUUGUGGUAUUAUUAUGAAGUCCUGAAUUUAUAUGUUUUCUGUAUUUCAGUCAAUCGUGGUUGUUAUCCUUAUUGAUGCUGACAGUAUACCAUAUUUGGUGAGUGGGAACCUCAUCAACUUGGCUCUUGAGCCCUUUAGCCAUGAUUCCAAUAUUCUUUGACAACUCCCUUUUUAUCAGGUAUGACGAGAAGUUCUAAGCUCGUCUUGUAUAUUUCUCCUCUAGACUGGAAAUCAGCUGUUUCUUGAGGAUCCCUGAUUUCCUUUAGAGGGAAAUGUUAUUUAGAGCCCAUAAUCUGAGUGCUAAGGCUCUUAUUGCUACUGGGUUUCUCCACAGUCUUGCCAACGAAGCACGUUGUUAAACUUUUGAGAGAAUAUGUUUUUCUUUUGAUAAAUGGUAUCUUGGCAUAAUUUUCGUUUUGUCUGUUUAAUAUGAGCAAGCUUGACCAUCAUUUAGGAAGUGCUGCUUCCUUUUUCUGUGAACAGUCUGUUCAUUUCGCUAGCUCACUUUAAAAUAACUUUGUUGGACUUUAUUUUCAGAAGUGUUUUAUACUAGCAGUUCUCGAAGGGUAAUGUGGGGAAACCCGGGGGCUCCCUGAGACCGUGUCACGGUGUGCAUGAAAUCAGAAAUGUUUUGGUGACGCUCAGCU